Molecule: non-coding RNA, 100 nt
Organism: Acanthosepion pharaonis
Lineage: Eukaryota; Metazoa; Mollusca; Cephalopoda; Sepiida; Sepiidae
Source: the annotation of a GenBank genome assembly
CGCUGAAACACCGAUUCCUAUAUGUCCACCGAAGUUAAGCAACAUCGAGCCUUGUCAGUACCUAGAUGGGUGACCGCUUGAGAAUACUAGGUUUCUGUAA